RNAcentral lists this ribosomal RNA (1080 nucleotides) under Triticum aestivum (bread wheat). RNAcentral describes it as "partial small subunit ribosomal RNA". Lineage: Eukaryota; Viridiplantae; Streptophyta; Magnoliopsida; Poales; Poaceae. The record is from RNAcentral.
AUGCUCAACUCAGACAGUGCUGACGUUGUUUUAUAUUCUCUACGUCAGAAGUAUCGAGACACUGACAAGUUGAUAGUUCCCAGAUGGGUGACGACCAAGAUCCAUGAUGGAAAUAUUGAUUCCAAUGUGCUAAAUUGGUUCACGAGAUCAGAGAGCCCCACUACACCCAAGAAUCCCAUUGUGGAAUUGGUAGACAGCGAUGAUGAUGUGUUUGACAAGAUUGCUGGCGUGGGAAGAGUCACGAGGAGCGCUGCUGCCAAAGGUUUAUCUCCCCUUGCUGGAAUAGUGGCUCGUAGAACUGGUGGUGCUAGGAAGGAUCCUGCUUUGGAUUCUGGCAAUGUUGUCAGCACGAAGCGUGCGCCCAGAGCUCCUAUAAAGUUUUGCUCCCCUGUGCAGCAGCUUCACCCUCAUAAAUUCCCUCACCUGGACACGGCUCGCAAGUUGUAUAAUCUGUUGCUUAGUGAUGAAUGGCGUGAGAAGAAUACAUUCUCAAUGAUACCUCAGCCUGAUGAAAGCGUAACUAGCUUCACUGGGAGACGCAUCUGGGAAGUUUUUUCACCUGGGCAAAUGAUGGAGGGUGAUGUAAUGGACUUCCUCAUUGAUGAUUGGAAGCAAGAUCCCGAGAGAAAUACUGAUUUCGCAUCUGGGAAAAGGGUAUUGCUGAGUCCAUAUUUCAUCACGAUCAUGAUGCCUCUAUUCAAGCCUAUGAUUUUAGCAAAGGAUAAGAAAGUGAACCACUUUUCCUUAUAUUUCAUGAAUCGGUACCGAAGUAGCGUUGACAUCCUUGACUCUUUACCUUCUCCGAAGAACCACCGUCCUUCAAAGAACACCUAUCAUAAAGACUGCGAGAAGAUUAUUUCUAGAUUGGUCCAAGUAAUGAAGGCUGUGUAUGGUGAUGCUCAGUACAAUGCGAGCAAGCAGCCCAAUUGGGAGCUGUUUGCAAAGAAACCAACGUUUGUCAAGGUUCCACUUCAAGGGCCGAAUGAAUGUGGCCAUUAUACUCUGAAGUAUGCGGGAUCCUAUGAUGGUGAAAAGAUUGUUGAGAACAUUCGAGAUAAUGACAUGGCCACGUAUUGUUGA